GCUUAGCCCUAAACUUAGAUAUUUAACGCACAAAAAUAUCCGCCAGAGAACUACGAGCAAAACGCUUAAAACUCUAAGGACUUGGCGGUACCUCAAACCCCCCUAGAGGAGCCUGUUCUACAAUCGAUAAUCCACGAUCCACCUCACCAUCUCUUGCCAAUCCCGCCUAUAUACCACCGUCACCAGCCUACCCUAUGAAGGCCACAAAAGUAAGCAAAAUAACUAAAUAACAGUUAACAAGUCAGGUCAAGGUGUAGCUAACUGAGAUGGGAGAAAUGGGCUACAUUUUCUAUACUAGAAAUUAAUUCACAGAAGGGAACUAUGAAAUAAGUCCCACAAGUAGGAUUUAGCAGUAAGCCGGGAUCAGAAUGCCCAACUUAAGUCGGUCCUGAGGUGCGC
This 399-nucleotide ribosomal RNA is filed under the name Cuora mouhotii (keeled box turtle). Its description in RNAcentral is "partial 12S rRNA". It matches the Rfam family "Bacterial small subunit ribosomal RNA", at positions 830 to 1384 of the family's 1533-position model. Lineage: Eukaryota; Metazoa; Chordata; Testudines; Geoemydidae. The record is from RNAcentral.